Molecule: ribosomal RNA, 439 nt
Filed under: uncultured bacterium
Lineage: Bacteria
Description: partial 16S ribosomal RNA
Rfam family: Bacterial small subunit ribosomal RNA
Source: RNAcentral
CUACGGGUUGCACCAGUGAGGAAUAUUGCACAAUGGGGGGAAUCCUGAUGCAGCAACGCCGCGUGGAGGAUGACGCAUUUCGGUGUGUAAACUCCUUUUAUAUGUCAAGAAAAUGACGGUAGCAUAUGAAUAAGCACCGGCUAACUCCGUGCCAGCAGCCGCGGUAAUACGGAGGGUGCAAGCGUUACUCGGAAUCACUGGGCGUAAAGGACGCGUAGGCGGGUUGGAAAGUCAGGUGUGAAAUCCUACAGCUUAACUGUAGAACUGCACUUGAAACUUCUAAUCUAGAGUAUGGGAGGGGGAGAUGGAAUUAGUGGUGUAGGGGUAAAAUCCGUAGAUAUCACUAGGAAUACCUAAAGCGAAGGCGAUCUCCUGGAACAUUACUGACGCUAAGGCGUGAAAGCGUGGUGAGCAAACAGGAUUAGAUACCCGAGUAGUC